RNAcentral lists this transfer RNA (94 nucleotides) under Thermoflexus hugenholtzii JAD2. RNAcentral describes it as "tRNA_Ser_TGA". It matches the Rfam family "tRNA". Rfam says of the family: Transfer RNA (tRNA) molecules are approximately 80 nucleotides in length. Their secondary structure includes four short double-helical elements and three loops (D, anti-codon, and T loops). Further hydrogen bonds mediate the characteristic L-shaped molecular structure. tRNAs have two regions of fundamental functional importance: the anti-codon, which is responsible for specific mRNA codon recognition, and the 3' end, to which the tRNAs corresponding amino acid is attached (by aminoacyl-tRNA synthetases). tRNAs cope with the degeneracy of the genetic code in two manners: having more than one tRNA (with a specific anti-codon) for a particular amino acid; and 'wobble' base-pairing, i.e. permitting non-standard base-pairing at the 3rd anti-codon position. The record is from RNAcentral. RNAcentral also lists the same sequence under 1 other name. Lineage: Bacteria; Bacillati; Chloroflexota; Thermoflexia; Thermoflexales; Thermoflexaceae.
GGAGGGAUGGCCGAGCGGCUGAAGGCGGCGGUCUUGAAAACCGCUGGGAGGCCUGAGCGCCUCCUCGGGGGUUCGAAUCCCCCUCCCUCCGCCU